Molecule: ribosomal RNA, 253 nt
Filed under: uncultured bacterium
Lineage: Bacteria
Description: partial 16S ribosomal RNA
Rfam family: Bacterial small subunit ribosomal RNA
Source: RNAcentral
UACGAAGGGGGCUAGCGUUGUUCGGAAUUACUGGGCGUAAAGCGCGCGCAGGCGGCUAUCUAAGUCAGUGGUGAAAGCCCGGAGCUCAACUCCGGAACUGCCAUUGAAACUGUUUAGCUUGAGGACGAGAGAGGUGAGUGGAAUUCCCAGUGUAGAGGUGAAAGUCGUAGAUAUUGGGAAGAACACCGGUGGCGAAGGCGAAUCUCUGGACAGUUACUGACGCUGAGGCGCGAAGGCCAGGGGAGCAAACGGG